AAAUUGUGGCGUAAAACAUCGCCACAUAAGGUAUAAACCUUGUUGUGACUGACAAUUUCGUUGGAAUUGCGUUUUUAAUGGUCAGGAGUCAAAACAGACGAAAAUCAGAUUUACCCCCUCACCCGUAACAUUUCUCCCGUGCACUCCCAAAUCCCGACUUCACCUUCUUCUCCAUUUCUUCUUCUUCAUUUUCUCCCUACCAGCACAUUAAGCAAAACCCACUCAAAAAACCAUCCUACCCGGUUGUCUCUUCUCUACCACUGAAAACCACCACCAACAGUGGAGACUCCACCGAUUUGGCGACCGGAAGCAAAACCCACUCAUCAUCGUGCAUUACUCGCGAUUUAGAGGUUCCAGCUCGUAAAGUGCGAUUUUUGAAAUCGAUUAAGCUGCCGUUCGACAUCAAGCAAGACCACUUUGCCUAGUAGUAGUGGGUAAUCCAACUCGCCUCCUCCCCGUCGUCUCCUCCACUCGGUUGGAGUCGAUUACUGUUGGGUGCUUAGGAAUUGCUUAAAUAUCACUUCUUCAAUCCCAGUUUGUAUUGGAGAGUUGACAGAAUUGGAGAUGUUGGUGGUGGAAGGUCCGCGCAGUUGGGGGUUUCCUUUGCUGACUCAGAUGCCAAGUAUAUAGGGAGGGAAAGUAUGCAAGAAGCAGUGCAUGUGAAAAAUUUGGAUAUGAGCCAUGUAAAUGGUCACUAUUCUGAUUAUAGUGAGUCUUUUUUGUGAAGUGGACCGGAGCAAUCAAUUUGGUAAGGAUAGAGCAGAUGGAAAAGCAAUUAUGCUCCAUUGGAUUCUGUCAGGUAUGGAAAGAGCAUAUGUUAGUUUAGGAUGCUAGAAUGAAUUAAUUUUGUGAAAGACAUUGGGGAUAGUGGGCAACGAUUUUCUCAUUAGUCAGAUAUUUUCAACAAGAUUACUGUCUGAGCAUGCACAAAACCAAAUUGAAAUUAUCCCAUAUGCUUUGGUUUGAUUAUGUAAUAACAGAAUAAAAUCUUGUCCGGAAAAAUAAUUCUUAUUGAACCGCCAAAAGGGGAAAACAACCAUUUCACAGUAAUAUAGCCUCACUGUCAUUAUGUUUGCAAGCACACCCGCAUUUAGUUACUUACUUCUAGAAUGAUAUAUAGUAUAUCUGAAAAUAUAUAUAUAUGGCUGGUUGAUGGCAUGAAUCUCCAAGUGGGUCUUUUCAGCUUCUCUAAAGUAGUCAAAAACCAAUUGACUAAUUGACUUGUCUCCCCAAUAUUACACUGAAGUUGCUCUUCCUAAACUGGUUUAUUGAAGACCAAGACCUCAGAAGCUGAUGGUGGUAAACAAAAUGCGCAGCUUGAGGUAUUUGUUGCCCUUUUUUAAGGGAGGGGGUGAUAUUGGUUCCUGCUCUGUUUUAGAAUUGAAUGGAUUAUCAAUUAGCUAUCUUACUUAUAAGAUUGUGGCUUGGUUUAUCUGGAUUUUUUGGUUUUAGUUUUUUUAUUCUUCAGCAUAUACUAUAGUCCUUUCAUUUGAGUUAAGGAGAUCAUAAUAUGGUCAUAUUAGUAGUUUGAAUCUUUUUUGAGUGUGUUAAAAGAACUAUAAACCAAUCCAUAGGUAAGGUAAAAUUGUGAAGCCUGCAAAACUUGGGUGGUUUGGAAAUCCUCUUUGAACUUGUAGUGCAUUGUCGAUUGCUUUGUCUCUUUAUUUCUCAUAAUAUUUCAUUUUUUG
Molecule: long non-coding RNA, 1688 nt
Organism: Juglans microcarpa x Juglans regia
Lineage: Eukaryota; Viridiplantae; Streptophyta; Magnoliopsida; Fagales; Juglandaceae
Exons: 6
Source: RefSeq, a predicted model, not a curated record